RNAcentral lists this ribosomal RNA (460 nucleotides) under uncultured bacterium. RNAcentral's name for it is "partial 16S ribosomal RNA". It matches the Rfam family "Bacterial small subunit ribosomal RNA", at positions 338 to 795 of the family's 1533-position model. The record is from RNAcentral.
CCUACGGGUGGCAGCAGUGAGGAAUAUUGGUCAAUGGGCGGAAGCCUGAACCAGCCAAGUCGCGUGAGGGAUUAAGGCCCUGCGGGUCGUAAACCUCUUUUGCCGGGGAGCAGAGGUCCGGACGUGUCCGGGCCGGGAGAGUACCCGGAGAAAAAGCAUCGGCUAACUCCGUGCCAGCAGCCGCGGUAAGACGGAGGAUGCGAGCGUUAUCCGGAUUUAUUGGGGUAAAAGGGUGCGUAGGCGGAUUUUUAAGUCAGCGGUAAAAUGUCCGGGCUAAACCCGGGCCGGCCGUUGAAACUGGGGAUCUUGAGUGGGCGAGAAGUAUGCGGAAUGCGUGGUGUAGCGGUGAAAUGCAUAGAUAUCACGCAGAACUCCGAUUGCGAAGGCAGCAUACCGGCGCCCGACUGACGCUGAGGCACGAAAGCGUGGGGAUCGAACAGGAUUAGAUACCCCAGUAGUC